GGAGCUCGUUUAGGCGGCGCUCUGAAUCCCCUCUCCUCGCGCACCAGGAAACAAAGAGAGCUUGGAAGCACGCCUUGAAUUAACCAGAGAUGCCCUGGAGGAUGAACGGCAAGGCUGAGAAUCACUGAAUUGAGAAGCUGAGAAGCAGUAGGGAGCUGUUUUCUGGACACUGCAGCAGGUUCAUUAAGAAGACAUACUGUAUUAGGAUUCAAAGAAACAACCAGCUCCCAUUCUCCCCUUCUCUGUUUUAUAUUUACCAAAAGAAAACAAAAACUACAAAUAAUGAAGUAAAAUACAGAAUUCCCUUCAUGAGGAAAACAACUUCCCUCAUGGCCCCAAAAUAGCUUAAAAAUAAAUCUUCUAUUGAAUCUCUUACUACACUGCAUUAGACCACCUUUAAUGACUGUAACUAGCUUUUAAUAUCUAGUGUGUAAAUGGCAAUCUGUUUUUGACCAAGAAUAAAUUAUAGCAGAAUAUUAGGGAGGCUCUUGCUUCACUCCAAAAAAAACUCUCAAAAAACAAAAAGACAAAAUAAAAAAAACUAGUAUUUGUUUUAGAUGAGAGACUUCUCAAUAUGUUCUGAAAGAGAAAAACCUCGUUUAGGGAGAAAUAUUUCUCUUAAGCAGUCUCAAACCAGAUUAAUGGAUUAAAACUGCACACUUGAAUAAUUUGACUAAAUUUAAAAUCUCUACGCGGCUCUCUUCCACUUAUUUUUUGUCCUUCCAUACUAAUCUUUAAUGUGUUGCUCUGAUACGGUUUUCAUAUUUCCAAACUGAGCUAAAAUGGAAAUGACAGAUUUUCAGUUACAUAAAAAUAGCAAUGAAGUGCCAGGAAAAAUACAUUGUGAACAAAAUAAUCUUUAGAAAAGAUAUGAAAGGAGAAUAUUUUUUAUAGCAUGUUAUGGAUCCAAUAAUAGAAGCAUAUUCGGGGCAAUUAUAUCAAUUUUUAAAAUUUAAAAACUGUUUAAAAAUUAAGGUACUAAAUGCUAAGCUAUAAUGUGUUUCCAGCCUUAGUAUACUUGCAUUAGAAUUAAGUAGUAAUCAAUAUAGAGUAUUUAUUGCUAUAAACCACAGCACCAGAGGAAGCAAAGGAUGGUAUGUUUAGAACUCAAAAUUCUCUCCUAUCCUUUAGGAAGAGGGGGAAAAGAGGAUUUCCCCGUCUUGAUCUUUAAUCAGUUACCACAGUGUACUGUAUUCCCAACUACUGCUUUCCUUUACCAAAAGAGUAUAGCAAUGAAAAUACAUUAUGAAAGCAAUAAUUUUCCAGUAAAGUUUAAGACGGUAAGAGAAACUUUUAUUUUAGAAAACAAAUAAUAACAGGUACACAAUAUGACUAUGUUUUUAAGUUGAUGGAAUUGAUUAAUGGCUCAAAAUAAUCAAGGAAUCACAUCACAGAGCACUAUUUUAAAGAGAAGUGCUAAAAAUUAACUCUAUACCAUCAUACCAUAAUGACAUUAUCAAAUACGUUACUGAAAUUAUAUACAGCAUAACAUUACAGAUGAUAAUUGCUAGGCUAAAUAAUGGAAUCUUCCAUGAUGCUGUAUGAUAACAAAUAUAUUUAAUAAUCUUAAAUAAACUCAAACUUACUCUGAUACCCAUACUUCUAAGUAAUUCAAGACAUGAGAAAUGAAUUUUUAAAAAAUCAGAUCAUGAAAGCCAUUAUUAUUUGAAGGAAUAUGCUCAAUUUUUUUAGAUAAUUUAAAUUAUUUAAGAGUGCUUUGCAUUUUUUAUUAGCUUUGCCUCAAGUUAUAACAUUAAAGCAUUAAGGUUACACGUAAUGAGGUCCUGGUUUGCCCUUAUUUCUAAGUCCCGUAUUUUCACAAACUACAAACAGAGAUUAGUGCUAAAUUACAAGGCUAAUUCGAUCAAAUAAAAUUGUCUCAUUCUUAGAUAUGCAUCUGAAGAAAAUGUUUAACUACAAAGUGUGUAUUCACAUGCAGACUAUCACAGAUAGCCAUCUGGAAGAAACAGUUCAUAGAGGGAGCAGAUAGUGGUCGAAGGGAGCCUGUACAUUUUCCUUAAGGUGUCUGUUAAAAAAAAAUUCUCUGCUAAGUCCAACCAACUACAAACAACACUUACCUAAAGCCUAUUACUCAGAUGGAUGGUUUUAAAAUAUCAAUGGUUUAUUUUGAAAAUUUACGGACAGAAGUAACAUCUCUGCUAUUGAAAUCUCCAUUAACAGAUAGUGACCACAGCUUGGAAACCAAUGGCUUGAUUCAAAAAUGUAUUCAGGAUUAUAGAGGAAUUUAAUCCCAAACUCCUCUAGGAUGUCUGACAUUAAUUCUCAUUAGAAAAUAACAAAAC
Long non-coding RNA from Balaenoptera musculus (blue whale), 2303 nucleotides. RefSeq lists it as uncharacterized. Lineage: Eukaryota; Metazoa; Chordata; Mammalia; Artiodactyla; Balaenopteridae. The transcript is spliced from 3 exons. The record is from RefSeq and is a predicted model, not a curated record.